GAUGAAGAACGCAGCGAAAUGCGAUAAGUAAUGCGAAUUGCAGAAUUCCAGUGAGUCAUCGAAUCUUUGAACGCACAUUGCGCCCUUUGGUAUUCCGAAGGGCAUGCCUGUUCGAGCGUCAUUAUCACCCCUCAAGCCCUCGGCUUGGUGUUGGACGGUUUGGUGGAGGCCCCCUCGGGGGCUCCUGCCCCCCCCAAAGACAAUGACGGCGGCCUCGUUGGACCCCCGGUACACUGAGUUCUUCACGGGACACGUAUCGGACACAUGGGUUUACGGGACACGGUCUGCCUCCCCUCAGGGAGAAUCUUUCUAAGGUUGACCUCGGAUCAGGUAGGGAUACCCGCUGAACUUAAGCAUAUCAAUAAGCGGAGGAA
This 374-nucleotide unclassified non-coding RNA is filed under the name soil metagenome. RNAcentral describes it as "partial contains 5.8S ribosomal RNA, internal transcribed spacer 2, and large subunit ribosomal RNA". The stretch from base 1 to 121 matches the Rfam family "5.8S ribosomal RNA", at positions 35 to 154 of the family's 154-position model. The record is from RNAcentral.